This 1344-nucleotide long non-coding RNA is filed under the name Prunus dulcis (almond). RNAcentral describes it as "sRNA ncRNA". Lineage: Eukaryota; Viridiplantae; Streptophyta; Magnoliopsida; Rosales; Rosaceae. The record is from RNAcentral.
UAUUCACCUGAUACGUUUAAGACGGUGAAAUACGCUAUUGUGAACUAUAUAUCAGCUCACAGGUUAUCGCCUGCUAGUCAAGCCUUUGUGAGUCAGAUGUCAGCAAUAAAUAUUCCCACAAAGGUGCAGGAGGCUUUGUUAGAUUCUAAGUGGGCUGAUGCAAUGACUGAAGAAAUGAAAACGCUUGAAAAAAAAAUUAGACAUGGGAUUUAGUGUCUGCCAGAAGGAAAAAAACCAAUAGGGUGCCGAUAGGUACACACUGUGAAACACAAGCCAAAUGGUACAAUUGACAGGUAAAAAAAAGGGAUAUACUCUGAAGUAUGGUAUUUAUUAUGAGGAGACUAUUGCACCUGUCACAAAAAUCAAUAAUAUACGCGUCUAAUGUCUCUGGCUGCAAAUUUAGAUUGGCCCCUGUAGUAGUAUGAUGUGAAGAAUGUUUUUUUAAUGGUGAUUUAUGUGAAGAAAUGUAUAUGAGUAUGCCUCAUGGUUACAUUAUUGCUGGACAAACAGACGUUGUGGGCAAGUUAAACUUAAAACAGGCCUUAUAUGGAUUGAUGCCAAACGAAGUUUACAUGUUGAUACAAGAGACAUUGAAUUCUAAGAAGCAUGGGGAUGCUGCAUUUCGAGCUAAGGAUUUUGCAACCGCGAUAGAUUCUUACGCAGAGUAAGUCACAAAUUUAGAAAUACAAAGUUUGCAUGUCACAAGUUCUUUCAUCAAAAUCCAGAUACAUAUUCAUCUGGACUUAAGUUAGACAAAGUUAUUAGUAGCGGGGUUACAAGAAUUUGAACUUUCUGUCUUCUUGAACAUAGAAAUCUAUGACUUUGUAUAAUCAGAUAACCUCACAUGAAUAGAAAUUAUAGUUCCUUAGGAAAUAUUAGCUUUACAAAGCCUACUACUAUGCAUAUGACAGAUAGAGAGUAGAAUUGCAUACACUUUUCAUCUUACUCCUCGGUGGAUCUUGUUGCUCUUCAUUGCAGUUCAUUGCUGGCGGGACGAUGAUAUCGCCAACUGUGUUUGCUAUGCUUAUGUUACUUGAUGAUGGCACAAGAAGCUCUUGGAGAUGCUAUGCAAGCCCAGUAAUAAACCCUGAAUGGCCAACUUCCUUCUAUCUUCAAGCAGCUGCCCUGAAGAGCCUAGGGAUGGACAAUGAUGCGCAGGAAACUCUAAAUGAUGGAGCGUCGUUGGAAGUCAAAAAAAAUAAAAGCUGAAACUGUAUAGGUGUUUUUCCCUCUUCUUUCAUUUACAAUUGUAUCUAGCUUUUUCCAUCUUCCUACUUUGACAUUUUCUGUUCUGCUCUGCGGCAACAGGAGGAUUAAUUGUAACAAUCUUUAUGUUGGUCUUGG